This 407-nucleotide ribosomal RNA is filed under the name uncultured bacterium. RNAcentral's name for it is "partial 16S ribosomal RNA". It matches the Rfam family "Bacterial small subunit ribosomal RNA", at positions 28 to 526 of the family's 1533-position model. The record is from RNAcentral.
GACGAACGCUGGCGGCGUGCCUAAUACAUGCAAGUAGAACGCAGUUGCGAACGGGUGAGUAACGCGUAGGUAACUGCCUCAUAGCGGGGGAUAACUCUUGGAAACGAUAGCUAAUACCGCAUCCAGUGAGAUGGACCUGCGUUGUAUUAGCUAGUUGGUGAGGUAAAGGCUCACCAAGGCGACAAUACAUAUCCCACCUGAGAGGGUGAUCGUCAAAACUGAGAGUGAGACACGGGCCAGACGUCUACGGGAGGCAGCAGAAGGGAAUGGUCGGGAAUUGACGGAAGUCGGACCGUGAAAAGCAGAGAAAGUGAAGAAGGUUUUCGGAACGUAAAGCUCUAUUGUUAGUGAAGCGAUAACUAACCAGAAAGAGACGGAUAACUACGUGCCAGCAGCCGCGGUAAUAC